GUUGAAGCGUCCGAGCAUGCGGUUACCACUCGUACCCCGCUCAGUAACAUGUGCGAACUUAUUAUCGCACAUGUUGCAGAGCGGGGUACAAGUGGUGGCCGCGUACUCUGCUACGAUUG
Molecule: microRNA precursor, 119 nt
Filed under: Physcomitrium patens
Lineage: Eukaryota; Viridiplantae; Streptophyta; Bryopsida; Funariales; Funariaceae
Description: Physcomitrella patens miR1066 stem-loop (ppt-MIR1066)
Source: miRBase by way of RNAcentral